AACGAACGCUGGCGGCAUGCCUAACACAUGCAAGUCGAACGAGACCUUCGGGUCUAGUGGCGCACGGGUGCGUAACGCGUGGGAAUCUGCCCUUGGGUUCGGAAUAACAGUUAGAAAUGACUGCUAAUACCGGAUAAUGUCUUCGGACCAAAGAUUUAUCGCCCAGGGAUGAGCCCCGCGUAGGAUUAGCUAGUUGGUGAGGUAAAGGCUCACCAAGGCGACGAUCCUUAGCUGGUCUGAGAGGAUGAUCAGCCACACUGGGACUGAGACACGGCCCAGACUCCUACGGGAGGCAGCAGUGGGGAAUAUUGGACAAUGGGCGAAAGCCUGAUCCAGCAAUGCCGCGUGAGUGAUGAAGGCCUUAGGGUUGUAAAGCUCUUUUACCCGGGAUGAUAAUGACAGUACCGGGAGAAUAAGCUCCGGCUAACUCCGUGCCAGCAGCCGCGGUAAU
Molecule: ribosomal RNA, 451 nt
Filed under: uncultured bacterium
Lineage: Bacteria
Description: bacterial SSU rRNA
Rfam family: Bacterial small subunit ribosomal RNA
Source: RNAcentral